This is a non-coding RNA of Chlorocebus sabaeus (green monkey), 47 nucleotides long. The record is from Rfam. NCBI's taxonomy places the organism in Eukaryota, Metazoa, Chordata, Mammalia, Primates, Cercopithecidae.
UCAUAGGUGCUUUUAAGCACCAUUUUAUACAAAGGGGCCAUCCAUGU